Molecule: ribosomal RNA, 273 nt
Filed under: uncultured bacterium
Lineage: Bacteria
Description: partial 16S ribosomal RNA
Rfam family: Bacterial small subunit ribosomal RNA
Source: RNAcentral
UACGGAGGGUGCAAGCGUUGUUCGGAAUUACUGGGCGUAAAGCGCGCGUAGGCGGUUUGUUAAGUCAGAUGUGAAAGCCCUCGGCUCAACCGGGGACGUGCAUUUGAAACUGGCAGACUUGAGUACUGGAGGGGGUGGUGGAAUUCCCGGUGUAGAGGUGAAAUUCGUAGAUAUCGGGAGGAAUACCGGUGGCGAAGGCGACCACCUGGCCAGAUACUGACGCUGAGGUGCGAAAGCGUGGGGAGCAAACAGGAUUAGAAACCCCCGUAGUCC